Non-coding RNA from Myotis lucifugus (little brown bat), 75 nucleotides. The record is from Rfam. NCBI's taxonomy places the organism in Eukaryota, Metazoa, Chordata, Mammalia, Chiroptera, Vespertilionidae.
GGUGGUUUUCGGGUGACACACCCAGAAAUUGAGCUCCUUCCUCUCUGGUUCCGGGUGCAUCACCCAAGAACCAUG